Long non-coding RNA from Mustela erminea (ermine), 1577 nucleotides. RefSeq lists it as uncharacterized. The transcript has 2 exons. The record is from RefSeq and is a predicted model, not a curated record. Lineage: Eukaryota; Metazoa; Chordata; Mammalia; Carnivora; Mustelidae.
CCGAGAUCAUGACCCGAGCCGAAGGCAAUGGCUUAACUCACUGAGCCACCCAGGAGUUACUUACAGUGUAAGUUUUGUCUUGAAAUUGGUACAAGGAUCCCUUUAUUCACAAUUUAAAAACUUAUACUCUUGCAAUCCGAGGCAGGGGUGAAGGGGGGAGGUGUCAGGGAAGUCAAAGUCUGCCCUAGUUGGGUUUUUUUUUUCCCUCUUUACACUUUACUUCCUGCCUGCUUGUAGAUAAAGCUAGGAUUUGUGAUGCUAAACCUGAUACAGUCAAUAUUUAGAAAUUGCUACCCCCAACUUAUAAUUUGCCUUCAUAAAAUCUAGAAUUACCUUCAUCAUUUUUUUAUCUUCAUCAUUUUUAAUGUCGCUGAUUAUAAAUGACCGCAAGCAAAAGAAAAUCCAUCUUGUAUCAGCCAGAGCCUGACAGGGACGUGGGUGUAGAGAGAGUACCACCAAAUAUCUCCCUGUUAUUUCCAGACCCCUCCAAAGCAUCCUUUGUCUGGGUCUCCGCCUUACCACAGAGCUGCCUGUGCCUGGUGAGCAUUAAGGAAAAUGGGGUCAUCAGAGAAAGAGCGAGUGCCUCUGUCAGCUUGGCCUAGUAAGGUCACAUAGCAGCCCAUCAGACUUGACCCUGAUGGCUCAUGGAGGGAGGCCCAUCGUUGUCUCCCUUAAGUCAGGCUUGGAGCUCGGUGCGAAAGCCAGCCGUGGAGACAGAAAGCACCCUGAACACUGCAUGGCACCAUCUACAGCACAGCCCCAUCGAGAGCAGUUCCGGGCAUCAAGAGACACUGUCCUCGCAGGGUGACCCAGAGGUCCUGGUGGCUUUGAAAUCAAUCCAAGUUCAAGAGGGAGGCGGCACCUUCCAGUAGAGUCCUGACCCCGCUGUGCCCUUUUCCUCCCUCCCCACCAGAGCAAGAGUGAAAGCAGGGAACUCUCGAAUGCCUUCUGCUGAAAGCGUGUGUACGUUCUGCUUUGUCCUUCAUGCCAUGGUCUGUGAGAACAGGCCCUGCGGGAGAGCUCACCACCGUGCAGGGGUGCCCGGCGACGGCAGAGUCUGGAGUGCGGCAUCAGGAAGCCAGUUGUCACCACAGACUUCAGCCGUGUUCUUUAGUACCUGUUCUAUGAGUACUGAUGAUGGCUUUUUUAUCUUCAUCUGCCUAUUUCUGAGUCAUUUAUAAGCUUACUGGAGAAUGGUUAGGUCUAUUGGGCUUCCGCAAACCCCAACAUGACAAUGCUUGUUUGUUAAAAAAUACGGAAAGUUUAUAAAUGCAGUAGCUCUUUGGAAUUCCAGCCAAAAAGGACAUUCUCUGACCAUUCUGAAUAAAGCCACAAUAACAUCAUCUGUUUAUACAGUCUGUUUCUCUGCUAUGGAGUAUAGACAUCUAAAAAUGUUUUUUAAAGAUUUAUUUUACUUUUGAGUGCUUUUCUUGGAUGUCAGACUGGUGUUUUAUUUUUUAUUUGAUAUCAUGCUAAGAUAGGCAACACAGCAUCUAGUGGGCCUCUUAUAUCAGAACAACUCAUUAUGACAGAAGAAAACAUCUUACAGUAGCACCAUUUCACUCAAAAAAAAAAAA